GGGGCCGUGGUGUAACGGUCGCACGUCGGCCUUUUAAGCCGGGAGGUGGGGGUUCGAUUCCCUCCGGCCCCA
This is a non-coding RNA of Planctomycetales bacterium 71-10, 72 nucleotides long. Lineage: Bacteria; Pseudomonadati; Planctomycetota; Planctomycetia; Planctomycetales. The record is from Rfam.